Molecule: ribosomal RNA, 379 nt
Filed under: uncultured eukaryote
Lineage: Eukaryota
Description: partial 18S ribosomal RNA
Rfam family: Eukaryotic small subunit ribosomal RNA
Source: RNAcentral
CAAUAGCGUAUAUUAAAGUUGUUGCAGUUAAAAAGCUCGUAGUUGGAUUUGUGGCGUAUGGUGUGUUCCGGGCACUUGUUGUCUGAGUAACUUGCCAUUGCCAUCCUUGGGUGGAACCUGUGUGGCAUUAGGUUGUCGUGCAGGGGAUGCCCAUCGUUUACUGUGAAAAAAUUAGAGUGUUCAAAGCAGGCUUAUGCCGUUGAAUAUAUUAGCAUGGAAUAAUAAGAUAGGACUUUUUUGCUAUUUUGUUGGUUUGCGCGAGAAGGUAAUGAUUAAUAGGGAUAGUUGGGGGUAUUCGUAUUCCAUUGUCAGAGGUGAAAUUCUUGGAUUUUUGGAAGACGAACUACUGCGAAAGCAUUUACCAAGGAUGUUUNCAUUA